RNAcentral lists this transfer RNA (73 nucleotides) under Haliotis rufescens (red abalone). Its description in RNAcentral is "tRNA-Tyr". It matches the Rfam family "tRNA". From Rfam's summary of the family: Transfer RNA (tRNA) molecules are approximately 80 nucleotides in length. Their secondary structure includes four short double-helical elements and three loops (D, anti-codon, and T loops). Further hydrogen bonds mediate the characteristic L-shaped molecular structure. tRNAs have two regions of fundamental functional importance: the anti-codon, which is responsible for specific mRNA codon recognition, and the 3' end, to which the tRNAs corresponding amino acid is attached (by aminoacyl-tRNA synthetases). tRNAs cope with the degeneracy of the genetic code in two manners: having more than one tRNA (with a specific anti-codon) for a particular amino acid; and 'wobble' base-pairing, i.e. permitting non-standard base-pairing at the 3rd anti-codon position. The record is from RNAcentral. Lineage: Eukaryota; Metazoa; Mollusca; Gastropoda; Lepetellida; Haliotidae.
CCCGUGAUAGCUCAGUUGGUAGAGCGGAGGGCUGUAGAUCCUUAGGUCGCUGGUUCAAAUCCGGCUCGCGGGA